This 495-nucleotide ribosomal RNA is filed under the name uncultured bacterium. RNAcentral describes it as "partial 16S ribosomal RNA". It matches the Rfam family "Bacterial small subunit ribosomal RNA", at positions 30 to 507 of the family's 1533-position model. The record is from RNAcentral.
UGAACGCUGGCGGCGUGCCUACUACAUGCAAGUCGAGCGAACAGACGAGGAGCUUGCUCCUCUGACGUUAGCGGCGGACGGGUGAGUAACACGUGGAUAACCUACCUAUAAGACUGGGAUAACUUCGGGAAACCGGAGCUAAUACCGGAUAAUAUAUUGAACCGCAUGGUUCAAUAGUGAAAGACGGUUUUGCUGUCACUUAUAGAUGGAUCCGCGCCGCAUUAGCUAGUUGGUAAGGUAACGGCUUACCAAGGCAACGAUGCGUAGCCGACCUGAGAGGGUGAUCGGCCACACUGGAACUGAGACACGGUCCAGACUCCUACGGGAGGCAGCAGUAGGGAAUCUUCCGCAAUGGGCGAAAGCUUGACGGAGCAACGCCGCGUGAGUGAUGAAGGUCUUCGGAUCGUAAAACUCUGUUAUUAGGGAAGAACAAAUGUGUAAGUAACUAUGCACGUCUUGACGGUACCUAAUCAGAAAGCCACGGCUAACUACGUG